This 266-nucleotide ribosomal RNA is filed under the name uncultured prokaryote. RNAcentral's name for it is "partial 16S ribosomal RNA". It matches the Rfam family "Bacterial small subunit ribosomal RNA", at positions 524 to 789 of the family's 1533-position model. The record is from RNAcentral.
UACGUAGGUGGCGAGCGUUAUCCGGAAUUAUUGGGCGUAAAGAGCGCGCAGGUGGUUGAUUAAGUCUGAUGUGAAAGCCCACGGCUUAACCGUGGAGGGUCAUUGGAAACUGGUCGACUUGAGUGCAGAAGAGGGAAGUGGAAUUCCAUGUGUAGCGGUGAAAUGCGUAGAGAUAUGGAGGAACACCAGUGGCGAAGGCGGCUUCCUGGUCCGUAACUGACACUGAGGCGCGAAAGCGUGGGGAGCAAACAGGAUUAGAUACCCGU